Long non-coding RNA from Tachyglossus aculeatus (Australian echidna), 683 nucleotides. RefSeq lists it as uncharacterized. The transcript has 3 exons. The record is from RefSeq and is a predicted model, not a curated record. Lineage: Eukaryota; Metazoa; Chordata; Mammalia; Monotremata; Tachyglossidae.
UCCUCCUCCUCCUCAUUUCCUCCUCCUCUUCACCUCCCUCCUUAUCCACCAUAUUCUCCCAUGCCGUGCAUCCCCCUCCUCGCCUUUUCCUCUCCUCUUCCUCUCCCUCCCUCCUUAUGCACCCCAUUCCCCCUCCUCCGUCUGACAGCCUCCGCGGGCCCCGGGCCGGGCAGUAAGGUGCCAGGGCGCACGUGGAGCCGCUGGGCAUCCUGUUGGUCUCCACUCUUGGAAGUUGGGAUCGAGCAGGCCAUUCCCGGCCGUUUGCCGGGAAGCAACGAGUUUAGCACACAAUCCUCAACAUAUGGCUUUUUGAAUUCUGACGAACAGCACAGCACUUUGAACAUUCUAAAUUAGCACCCUGUUGUAGCUUUAUGACAACGCGUCCACCAUUUUCCACCCUAGCUUCCUUCAUAACACUGCCAAAAUGGACGGGUCCACUCUCCCUGGUGAUGAGGUGCAAAUCUCGAAAUGGAUCAAGACCAAGUAAUCGCUGCUGGAGAAACCGAAUUUUGCUGAGUUUACAACCAGAUUUGCUGAAGAGCUUUUCUCGAUGGGCUGGGAACAGCGGAGGCCCCGUCCUGAGGUGAUCUGCAGUCCAAGAAGAAUUUCUAAAAGCAGUCAAUGAAGAGUCGCCGGUUCAGACUUAGAAGAGAGAGGAACAAGAUAAAAAAACCCAUCGGAAU